CCGGGUGGUAACUGACAAGGUGGAAGUUAAAAUACUCUAAGUUCAUAGUGCUCUCCACUCUUGUACAGUCAUAACUUCUCUUUUUAUACCUUAAUCCUAGUAUCCUUCAAAAUUCUUGUUUCAUACUUACUAAUGAAUCCCUCAGCACCAAUGAUUCCCUUCCUCCUCUGAAAUACUUAUUUCGAUAGCUAUUAAUUUUUGCAUUUAUCAACUCUACCUGUUAUGUCAUAUAAUCUUCCCAGCUACUAGACUACACAAAAUUUUUGAGGUUGCUAAGUAUUACAUAAUUUGUAUCCUCUUGGUUUGGUAGGCCAUUACUUCUAUCUUGUCUUUGUGAUUGCCUGAAACACCUUCAUUUUUGGCAUUGUUAUCUUCUGUAACAGCAUCACUUACAUCAAGAUCAAUCUGCCAUUUUAAGUACUCUUGGUAGCAAAGUGAGUCAAUGUUCUUUGCUCUUAGUCAAUGAAUGAUUUUGUAAACUACAAUAGGUUAAUCUGUUGCAAGUACUCUUGGGAGCAAAGUGAGUCAAUGUUCUUUGCCCUUAGUCAAUGAAUGAUUUUGUAAACUACAAUAGGUUAAUCUGUUGCUCUAACUAGAAUUUGAAUCAAACGCAGGGAUAAGAAUAAAGUGGUUGGAGCUGAUACAUCCCAAGUCAACAUCUUCAAAAGACUUGGCAUUCAUUUCUUUUCUUUUUUGUUUCCUCAUUUUUUUUAUUGGUACAUUUUAGGUAUAGAGUACAGUUACAUUCAUCAUUGGGAUCUUGUACCUUUACAUGACAGGAGCUAAUGGUGAUCAUCUGAAUUUCUACAUCAUUCCAAUGCAAGACACACCUG
This 833-nucleotide long non-coding RNA is filed under the name Fukomys damarensis (Damara mole-rat). RNAcentral's name for it is "lncRNA (ENSFDAG00000024130.1)". Lineage: Eukaryota; Metazoa; Chordata; Mammalia; Rodentia; Bathyergidae. The record is from RNAcentral.